GAUUUAGCAUGGGUGUUAAAGUACCCUAUGUCAGCAAACUCACAGGAACAACUUGUCAAUUCUGCUAGUGUUCUGUCUAAGCUUCAAAAUGGCACAGCACUCAGAUACCCUAGUAUAUCAUAAUGUCUUUGACAUUUUCCUGAGGAAAAAGCAUGGAUUAUGAGUCAAUGUACAAAAGGAAGAAUAAAAGCUAUCUCUGUGGAAUUUAUGCUUCUAUGGAUGAUCAAAAGGAGCAUCCAACGGUAUAGCAGGGAACAUUCCAAGAAGGCUCCAUGAAAACUCUGGGACUUGAGGCAGCCUUUGAAAGCUGAGUGAAUUAUAUAAAACCCAUGCCCAAAUGCUACUUCCCAUGGUUGAAAGAAGUUGGGGUUUAGGACUGGGCACAUCUGGGUUCUAUCCUUGGCCUACCAUAUGCCAGCUUAGUAACUGGGUGCAAUUUUACUUAGCCUCCUCUGAGACUCAGUUUCCUCAACUUUAUGCUACUGAUCAAACCAACUGUGCAGAGUUCUCAUGAAUAAUGAGAUACACAAGAUACAUUUUUUUUUAUUGUCUGGCAAAUAGGUGCUCAACAAAUGUAAGAUAUUUUUAUUAGCUAGAAUUUGUGUAGAAGGUAUGUGAGUUAGAAUUUAAUCUCUUACCUAGGGCUUAAUUAAAUCUGCAAUUUGUAGGCAUCAAUGGACACGCAAUUUGAAGCCAUCUUGAAAGCACGGGUGAAAAUACACUGUAUGAAAAGCUCUGGUAAGUUCUAUCAUUCAUCAGCUUAAGCAGUUCCAAGCAGAAUGACUGUUAGUGACAUUGAGAUUGCAGCUAUUGAAUGUACUUUAGGUGGUAGAGUUUGUCCAACAUAAUCUCUUCCAAGCUACUAGCGAUACUGUUCAGCUUUCCAUGUUAAUGUAAAGUACAUUUGCCUCACCUAGGAGCCAUCAGGACUUCACAAGUACAACAGAGCAUCCCAUGACAACAGAGCCAACUUGGAAGUACUGUUCAUUGCCAUCGCAGAUUAAUUAUCAACUCCACUGCCUGCUCUUCAAGACUUGGGACCUUCAGAAAUGAAUCAAAUAUUAGAAAAUAUAAAGUUGGCUUCUGUUUACACCCCUGCUCAUUUCUACCUCUGUGGAUUGGAAGAUAAGAAAGCCAAAUUUCUUGCUCCCCAGGGUACCACUGAAGAUUCAUAUCCAUGGAACAGAGUCCAAUUAUAACAUUUCCUGAGAUUCUGAAAGUCUUAUGUGAUCAAGCUGAGAUUUUUUUGAUUGGGAUUGAGCUCCAUUAACCUUUCUCAAAGAGAAGGAAUCUUUUUGCACUGUGCUAAGGGACUCUACCCAUAUAAGUCAGCAUGUGACUUGCCAGGCAGGAGAUGAGGAAACCAGUGUAACGAGUACUGGUGAGAGUGCUCCUCAAGGCUGCAGUCUGCUGGAGAGUAGACAGAGCUCUCCAGGGUUUCUUUCUAUAAGGAUAUUAAUCCCAUUACAUCACUAAUUACACCGCUCAAAGGCCCCACCUCCUAAUACCAUACACAGAGGGGUUUGGAAUUUCAACAUAUGAAUUUGAGAGGACACAAACGUAUAGUCAAAAACACCAAAAAUUUAAUAUCUCAAAUAUGUGC
Bos taurus (domestic cattle) is the source of this 1603-nucleotide long non-coding RNA. Lineage: Eukaryota; Metazoa; Chordata; Mammalia; Artiodactyla; Bovidae. The record is from Ensembl.